GUCACGCCUACAAGGCAGGCUGAGAGAGGACCCUGAAGACCCGAGAUCUAGAUGCACUGUCUCUCUUGGUUCCUGGACCCAGGACACUGAAGGUAGACCGAGAAGAGUUCUACAGAGAACACCGCCAGACCCUGCAACCUAUCCCUUCACUUAGUUGCAAAGCAAAAUUAACCAUUUAAAUAUUGGAGGGAAUGGCACAGGGGAGGCCUCUCCUAAAACCCUUCCUGACCAUGCUGAAAAGAAAGCCAGUGUGAAAGAGUGAGGAUGCUGGGAGAGGAGAAAGAGCAGAAGAGCCGAGGCUGAGAUACAGAUUACUGUCAAGAAUACAGACUAUGAGCAGUUAGCAACCGGAACAGCAGGUGCACAUGGGAACUACCCAGACAAAGCAGGAGCCAUAGGUUUCCGGACACAGCUGCUGUCAAGGAAAGAAGCCUUCACUUUAACAUUAGUAAAAUCCAGCAUUGCCACGAGAAAAGGUACAGUAAUGUGUACACAGCAUUGGAAGGGACUCAGUGUCCAAAAGUGAGGAAAGUGCUUGACACAGGAGCCAAUCUCUGUCCAUACCAAGAGACAAUGCUGAGCAGCUUACCUACCCCUGAUGACAUUCCCUCACCUCCUAAGGGAUGAGUAAGAAUACAUGAUCUUCAAAAUCAUCUGUAACUCUGGUGCUUUAAGAUGCCAUUUUUGUCACGGGGUUCACAGCAGCUGGAGAGAUGGCAGUGAUGAAGAGGGCUUGCUGCUUUUGGAAAGGGCCAGAGUUUGGGUCCCAACUCAGUCACCCAACACUUCAACUCCAGGGGAUCCAAUACCCUCCUCUAGCUUCCACAGGUACCAGCAUUCAUGUAAACAUGCACA
Molecule: non-coding RNA, 855 nt
Organism: Peromyscus maniculatus bairdii (prairie deer mouse)
Lineage: Eukaryota; Metazoa; Chordata; Mammalia; Rodentia; Cricetidae
Source: RefSeq, a predicted model, not a curated record